UGCCGUGUUUGUUACAUAUUUGUGGCCUUCGGAGCCGUAGGUCGUGGGUUCAAAUCCCACCGGGGCCG
Molecule: transfer RNA, 68 nt
Filed under: Vulcanisaeta sp. OSP_8
Lineage: Archaea; Thermoproteati; Thermoproteota; Thermoprotei; Thermoproteales; Thermoproteaceae
Description: tRNA-Arg
Source: RNAcentral